This 352-nucleotide unclassified non-coding RNA is filed under the name Hevea brasiliensis (rubber tree). Lineage: Eukaryota; Viridiplantae; Streptophyta; Magnoliopsida; Malpighiales; Euphorbiaceae. The record is from RNAcentral.
AAAAUUAUAAAUCUUUUGAUACUAUUUCCAUCUACGUCAUUUUAAGUAUACUCAUUUCCCUUCUUACUCCUUCUACAAAUAGCUUAUCAUACUUUCACAUUGGGGUAUUCGAUGCUUUAUGUUGAACAUGACCAAAUCAUCUUAAUCGAAUCUCUCUUAUGUUAUCACUAAUGUGUGCAACCUGCACUCUCUGAUGGAUAUAGUCAUUCGUAAUCUUAUCCAUUAUCGUGUUACUAGAUAUCCAUAAUCCAUCUUAACAUCCACAUUUCUAGUACUCAUUUUCUAGUUACAUUGUAACUUAGAUGUCCAACAUUCAUUCCCAUACAACAUAACUAGCCUGACACAAUUCUCU